This 336-nucleotide ribosomal RNA is filed under the name uncultured Glomus. RNAcentral's name for it is "partial 18S ribosomal RNA". The record is from RNAcentral. Lineage: Eukaryota; Fungi; Glomeromycota; Glomeromycetes; Glomerales; Glomeraceae.
CGUAAGGCGCCGAAUGAGUCAUUAAAAAAUUAACAUCAUCCGAUCCCUAGUCGGCAUAGUUUAUGGUUAAGACUACGACGGUAUCUGAUCGUCUUCGAUCCCCCUAACUUUCGUUCUUGAUUAAUGAAACAUCCUUGGCAAAUGCUUUCGCAGUAGUUAGUCUUCAAUAAAUCCAAGAAUUUCACCUCUGACAAUUGAAUACUAAUGCCCCCAACUAUCCCUAUUAAUCAUUACGUCAAUCCUAGAAACCAAACUAAAAUAGGAUCGAACGUCCUAUUUCAUUAUUCCAUGCUAAUGUAUUCAAGCGUUAGCUUGCUUUAAACACUCUAAUUUUUU